GAUGAACGCUGGCGGCGUGCCUAAUGCAUGCAAGUCGAGCGAACAGACGAGGAGCUUGCUCCUCUGACGUUAGCGGCGGACGGGUGAGUAACACGUGGAUAACCUACCUAUAAGACUGGGAUAACUUCGGGAAACCGGAGCUAAUACCGGAUAAUAUAUUGAACCGCAUGGUUCAAUAGUGAAAGACGGUUUUGCUGUCACUUAUAGAUGGAUCCGCGCCGCAUUAGCUAGUUGGUAAGGUAACGGCUUACCAAGGCAACGAUGCGUAGCCGACCUGAGAGGGUGAUCGGCCACACUGGAACUGAGACACGGUCCAGACUCCUACGGGAGGCAGCAGUAGGGAAUCUUCCGCAAUGGGCGAAAGCCUGACGGAGCAACGCCGCGUGAGUGAUGAAGGUCUUCGGAUCGUAAAACUCUGUUAUUAGGGAAGAACAAAUGUGUAAGUAACUCUGCACGUCUUGACGGUACCUAAUCAGAAAGCCACGGCUAACUACGUG
This 497-nucleotide ribosomal RNA is filed under the name uncultured bacterium. RNAcentral's name for it is "partial 16S ribosomal RNA". It matches the Rfam family "Bacterial small subunit ribosomal RNA", at positions 28 to 507 of the family's 1533-position model. The record is from RNAcentral.